This 2904-nucleotide long non-coding RNA is filed under the name Homo sapiens (human). Its description in RNAcentral is "non-protein coding lnc-OSBPL9-1:7". Lineage: Eukaryota; Metazoa; Chordata; Mammalia; Primates; Hominidae. The record is from RNAcentral.
GAGAAGCACAAGGACUGGACUUUGACAGGAAGCAACGAGGCAAGAGGGAAGCUCGAGAACAGGUUUUGCUGAGGAUUCCCCCCAAGAAAAGUGCUCCCCGGGAGGCCGUUCCUGGCACCAAGACUGGCGGAGCCACCACACCCGUUAAAGGGAUCCACCUGGACAGCGAUCAGGCAAGCACCUCCAAGGAUCACGUAGGACCAGCAGAAGCAGCGUAAAGUAUUGGAACUUUGAAUCUGACAUCAGAAAGACCUGCACUCAGCCGGGCACGGUGGCUCACGAUUGUAAUCCCAGGCCGAGGCGGUGGAUCACUUGAGAUUCACUGAUUCUAGGUAAAUCAGAGGAACAAGCAACAUGAACAGAAAAAAUGUAGAAAAUGCAAUUAUGCUGAAGUACAAUUGUUGUUUCAGAAGUCCAGCAUCUGGUGUACUUAACAAUAGAGAAUAUAUUAAAUUUUUCCAAAAUAAAAAAAACAAGUAGGAGACUCGCUAGUGAAAAUUAAAUGGCAUAUGCAAAGUCUUUAAUACAGCAUUUGGUACAUGAGAGGGACUCAGUAAAUUUUAGUAACUUAUAAUUAUUAGGAAGACUAUGACUGCCCCCAUUUAAAAGAUCAGCAGUCUGAGGCUUAUAAAGACCAAGACUUAUUCAAGUCUUGUGAUUUCCAGCCUGAGGCUCUUUCUACUUUGUGAAAACUGAGAGACUGUGGCUCAGUGGCUCUGAGCUCAGAGGGCUUUACCUGCCAAAGGUCCAGGCUGAGAACACUAAUGUUAUAAUAGUGACAAAUGGUGGCGUCAGGCUUAUAUUUAGGGUUGUCUAUUUUGGGAUGAAUCUACUCCCCCUGGUAAUUGGGAUUUUCAAUGAUCCAAGGUUUCCAUUCUCCCUAAGCAAAGAACCAGUGAACAAGGCAUUAGUAUUUUGUCAUUCUUCUGAUCUCAUGCAAUCAGAAAGGCCAAUUGAUAUGGUUUGGAUCUGUGUCCCCACCCAAAUCUCAUGUCAAAUUGUAAUCCCCAGUGUUGGAGGUGAGGCCUGGUGGGAGGUGAUUGGAUCAUGGGGGCAGAGUUCUCAUAAAUGGUUUAGCACGAUCCCCCCUUGGUACUGCAUAGUGAGUGAGUUAUCAUGAUAUCUGGUUACUUUUAAAUUGUGUAGCACCUCCCCCCUUUCUCUCUUGCUCCUGCUCCCACCGUGUGAGAAACCCUGCCAUCACUUUCCGCCAUCACAGUGGACACCUGAGGCCUCCCCAGAAGCUGAUGCUGCCAUGCUUUCUGUAUAGCUAUAGCCUGCAGACCCAUGAGCCAAUUAAGCCUCUUUUCUUUAUAAAUUACCCAGUCUCAGGUAUUUCUUUAUAGCAAUGCAAGAAUGGACUAAUACACCAAUUGAUUUAUGAGGCAGUUGUGUAUUAGACAUAAGGAUUCAGAGAAGGAUUCCAGGAGCUUCUUUCCCUUUCUUUGAGUUAAUGCACAAGAUUCUUUCAAAUUCCCCUUGCUACCCAGAGGAAGCCAAGCGAGGUGGCAGGGACCCAUUCUGAGCUUGGCCCCAUGUCUGCACCAGCUCAUUCAUGAAAUAAAGAAAAUGUAGCUUCUCAGAGAAUAUCAUCUGAGUAUCCUGGCAGUUGAGGCCGUUCUCUUCCUGGUGUGUAGUGUAGGAAACUGUGGCCAAAUAAAAUCAUGCUUGCUUCAGUCAGUUUUACCUCUGGACAAUUUGACACUGAUUCCUUUCGUUCUUCUUGCUUCUAACAUGAGGUCAGGAGUUAGCUCUUAAAAAUAAGUGUCCCUUGGCUGGGUGCAGUGGUUCACUCCUGUAAUCCUAGCACUUUGGGAGGCAAAGGCAGGCGGAUCGCUUGAGGUCAGGAAUUCAAAACCAGCCUGGCCAAUAGAGUGAAACCGCGUCUCUACUGCAAAUACAAAAAAUUAGCCAGGCGUGGUGGCACGUGCCUGUAGUCCCAGCUACUCGGGAGGCUGAGGCAUGAGAAUCUCUUGAGCCCAGGAGGUGGAGGUUGCAGUAAGCCGAGAUCACGUCACUGCACUGCAGCCUGGGUGACAGAGCAACGCUCUGUCUCAAAAUAAAUGAAUAAAUAAAUAAAAUAAAAAGUGUCCCUACCCCUUGCAUUUUUGGCUCAUUCAUGGACACCCUUUCUCCUUCUGGCCUGUUUCUAAGACUUCCAGUUCCUGACCCCAAACCCAUGUCCUAUUUUGACCACAUUCCUGUGACUGGCUGCUUUCCACCACUCUGGACAAACUCCAGGCCCAGGGCUGCCUGGCCCUAUACCUGUCAAAGUUGGCCUUUACCAGCCCACCCCGUCCAACGUAGGCAUAGCCCUGUGAGCAGGGCUCAGAUGAGGGUACAGUCUUAUUUGCGGGGUUUAGGGGAAGGGAAGAUGACCACAGGAUCUCAGAAUUUCUGUUUCAUCAAUUAGCGUUGACAUGUCUUUUGUCUCAUUUCUCACACCCAUUGGAAAGAGAGACCCCCCUCACCUUAUACUUCGGAUUUGGCAUCAGAGGCCUUUCCCACUCCCCAUCCAUAGCCUCCUUCCAGUUAUCUGGCUUCUUGGCUUCUGGAUCCAGGAUGUAUUCAAAGUCUUCCCAGUACUAAAAUGAAAUGUUCCUUCAUGAGGAUAGAUGCGUAGGCUGAGAAAAAACUGGGGUCCAGGCUGGGCGUGGUGGCUCACAUCUAUAAUCCUAGCACUUUGGAGGCCAACGUGGGAGGACUGCUUGAGCCCAGGAGUUCAAGACCGGCCUGGGCAAUAUAGUGAGACCCCAUCCCUACCCCAAAGAACUUUAAAAAUUAGGCAAGUGUGGUGGCAUGCACCUGGUGGGAGGAUCUGAGCCCAGGAGGCAGAGGUCACAGUGAGCCAUGAUCAUGCCAUUGCACUCUAGCCUGGGUGACAGAGCGAGAUCAUCUCAAAAA